UGAUUGUCCAAACGCAAUUCUUGUCUGUGUGCCCGAGAGUUGAGUGUGGACAUCACG
Molecule: microRNA precursor, 57 nt
Filed under: Gekko japonicus
Lineage: Eukaryota; Metazoa; Chordata; Lepidosauria; Squamata; Gekkonidae
Description: Gja-Mir-219-P3_pre stem-loop
Rfam family: mir-219 microRNA precursor family
About the family: The hairpin precursors (represented here) are predicted based on base pairing and cross-species conservation -- their extents are not known. In this case the mature sequence is excised from the 5' arm of the hairpin.
Source: RNAcentral